Molecule: long non-coding RNA, 1613 nt
Organism: Cydia fagiglandana
Lineage: Eukaryota; Metazoa; Arthropoda; Insecta; Lepidoptera; Tortricidae
Exons: 2
Source: RefSeq, a predicted model, not a curated record
CUUUAGGGUAGGCACCCAGUGUUAUAAACGUCUGAAGAUUAUUGUAGAUAGGCACUUUAUAGGUUAGAAAAGUAGAUGUUUGUUUGGUAAGAAUUUGGUGGUUAUUAUACGUUCUACACGGGUAUUAGAGUAGAUAGGUCAAGGUCGGAGAUCAGUAAUGUUGUUUCUAAUCUUCACAUAUACGCUUUUGGCUAUAUUUAGAGGAUAAAACUUACCGGAAUGGUAGGUCAUCAAUCAUCUAUAAAUCGUCGCAUUUAGCGCAUCCAUUGUUCGUUCCUGCGUUGUGCUGGGACAUAAAUACUUUGUUUUCUGUGGAGUUUACACAUUUCACCAUGGAAAUACACUUGUAACAUGGAAAUACUACGUGGAAAUAGCUUUAACUUGGUAAAACGGGUUGAAUCGGUGUUGUUUAUUACUGUCGCAGUAAACAUUGACGUCUGUCAAUGACAGUUGGUUUGUUGUCUGUGGUUUUGCACAGACAAUCAGUCAUACAUAAAGAGUAUUUAUGAAUAAACAUUUGGUAUGUGUUCUUUUAUAUUUUGCAAUUCGUAGUUAUAAAUAAUGUCCUUAUUUUUAGCUUUCGAAAUUAGUAAUUCUUUUUAUUUUUGGUGACUUCGGUUUUCUGUAAAUGGAAUCCGGUCAGUUGCGGUGUCAUUGAAUGGGAGGUUUUCCAUUCACCACUUUGUCUGUGGCUUUGCCAUUUUUUCAAUUUCGCUUGAUCACUACUAUCUUUCGUGACAAGAUGUAAGACGUAAUUUGUACAUCAUGUCGGCAAUUGAUUCAUGGGGUAUGUAUUUUAUUUAAAGAUUGUAUUUCCUAAAACUCGGUUAAAUUCGGUGUUCAAUGUUUUAAUCGUUGAUAUAUUUUGUUCCAGUUUGGCCCAAAAUAUGAUUAACCUAGCUUCCUAUGCGCCGGUAAUGGCGGCAUAACCUUUUCACCUCUUUCAAACCAACUUGGUGAGUUGUCCCCACUUUCUAAAUAUACGGAAGGAAAGGCGAAGUUGUUUAUUGUCAAUUGCAAUUAGCUAAUGUCGUGUUUUGGUGUGAAUUUCCAGCAAUUCCUUGACAAAGAUGAGACAUCAUCUUGUUUCACCGCGUGGGCCUACGUCGCCACGUCUGGUGUCUAAUAUAAGGGACUCGGCUUAGAAACCGGGUUCCUUUUGGCUAGGCCUGUCCUUUGGCUAGGCCUACUUCUUGCCUUGGCUUGGCCCUUGGCUUUUGGAAGAUCUAGGGUGGUGUCGCACCUUGCUAGUUGGGAAGCCGUCUUCUCCACUUAAUUUUUGGACUCGAGGUGAAGUGUUUAUUCGAUAAAACUGUGAGUUAAAAACUUAUAUUUACAUUAGUGACUGUGUUCCUUUGCUGGAAAGGAUAAACAAUAUUUAAGUCUGAAUUUCUUUUUAACGUGAACUUUCUACAUGGUAAAUUCUAUUAUUAUUAUGAAACCUGUAAUUCCUAUGUAGGAUUUUGUGUGUAUUGCAGGCCCGAGUAUGCCUGAGAUGUACUUAAGUUAAAUUUAAUUAGUAAUAGUUACGGUACGUAAUUUAAAUGUUAAGUCUCGAGGCCGCAGCAGGUCUUAUUGUGAUGUAAAGUGAAUAAAAGUAUUUAGUAAAUAAA